This 497-nucleotide ribosomal RNA is filed under the name uncultured bacterium. RNAcentral describes it as "partial 16S ribosomal RNA". It matches the Rfam family "Bacterial small subunit ribosomal RNA", at positions 28 to 507 of the family's 1533-position model. The record is from RNAcentral.
GACGAACGCUGGCGGCGUGCCUAAUACAUGCAAGUUGAGCGCUGAAGGUUGGUACUUGUACCAACUGGAUGAGCAGCGAACGGGUGAGUAACGCGUGGGGAAUCUGCCUUUGAGCGGGGGACAACAUUUGGAAACGAAUGCUAAUACCGCAUAAAAACUUUAAACACAAGUUUUAAGUUUGAAAGAUGCAAUUGCAUCACUCAAAGAUGAUCCCGCGUUGUAUUAGCUAGUUGGUGAGGUAAAGGCUCACCAAGGCGAUGAUACAUAGCCGACCUGAGAGGGUGAUCGGCCACAUUGGGACUGAGACACGGCCCAAGCUCCUACGGAAGGCAGCAGUAGGGAAUCUUCGGCAAGGGACGAAAGUCUGACCGAGCAACGCCGCGUGAGUGAAGAAGGUUUUCGUAUCGUAAAACUCUGUUGGUAGAGAAGAACGUUGGUGAGAGUGGAAAGCUCAUCAAGUGACGGUAACUACCCAGAAAGGGACGGCUAACUACGUG